AAUAGAUACCCCGGUAGUCCACGCCGUAAACGAUGAGUGCUAAGUGUUAGGGGGUUUCCGCCCCUUAGUGCUGCAGCUAACGCAUUAAGCACUCCGCCUGGGGAGUACGGUCGCAAGACUGAAACUCAAAGGAAUUGACGGGGGCCCGCACAAGCGGUGGAGCAUGUGGUUUAAUUCGAAGCAACGCGAAGAACCUUACCAGGUCUUGACAUCCCGCUGACCGCUAUGGAGACAUAGCUUUCCCUUCGGGGACAGCGGUGACAGGUGGUGCAUGGUUGUCGUCAGCUCGUGUCGUGAGAUGUUGGGUUAAGUCCCGCAACGAGCGCAACCCUUGAUCUUAGUUGCCAGCAUUUAGUUGGGCACUCUAAGGUGACUGCCGGUGACAAACCGGAGGAAGGUGGGGAUGACGUCAAAUCAUCAUGCCCCUUAUGACCUGGGCUACACACGUGCUACAAUGGAUGGUACAAAGGGCUGCGAGACUGCGAAGUCAAGCCAAUCCCAUAAAACCAUUCUCAGUUCGGAUUGCAGG
RNAcentral lists this ribosomal RNA (529 nucleotides) under uncultured bacterium. RNAcentral's name for it is "bacterial SSU rRNA". It matches the Rfam family "Bacterial small subunit ribosomal RNA", at positions 777 to 1304 of the family's 1533-position model. The record is from RNAcentral.